Molecule: non-coding RNA, 622 nt
Organism: Chelonoidis abingdonii (Abingdon island giant tortoise)
Lineage: Eukaryota; Metazoa; Chordata; Testudines; Testudinidae
Source: the annotation of a RefSeq genome assembly
AAGGGUUACUGCUUUGCAGCCCACCGGGUUGUUGUGGAGAAUGAAAAUGAUCUGUCUGGGGUGGGUCUUCUUUUUGGCAGCUUUCUCGGGUGUCAGCUCCCAAAUUCAGCUGACCCAGUCUGGUGCAGAAAUCAAGAAGCCUGGAGAGUCUGUGAGAGUGACAUGUAAAAUAUCCGGCUACACGUUUACUAGCUAUUACAUUAACUGGGUACGGCAGGCUCCUGGGAAAGGACUGGAGUGGAUCGGAUAUAUUGAUCCCAGCGAUGGUGAAACUGACUAUGCCCACGCUUUCCAAGGGCGAUUCACCAUCACCAGGGACGACUCCAUAAGCACGGCCUAUCUGCAGCUGGGCAGCCUGAGAACAGAGGACUCAGCCACGUAUUACUGUGCUACGGACCUCUGCUGGAGCUCCGUUCCCGUGCCCGCGCUGGAUUUGUUUGGGGAAGUGUCUGCCUCGCGCGGCGCAGGGGGAAGGGCGGUUCUGGCGCCGGUUUUUGCUUAUGGCAGGAUGGAUUCCCGCACUGUGCUCUCGACAGUAAUAGCGGGCGGUGUCCUCGGCUUAGGCGGUCGUUGCCGAUCAGCGGUUGUUGGGGUUGUCCUGGAGAUGGUGAAGCGUCCUUGA